UUUAUCUCACAGCUUACUAUAAAAGACGAGCCCAUCGUGUCUGUUCUCAUACACAAGUCACAACCCGAGCACAGCGUGUCGUUCUGUACUCCGCACAUCAAGCUACAAUGAGGUUUAUUUUCCUCUUCGUCUGUGCUCUCGCGCUGUUCGCCUCAGUGUCUGCGGCGCCUUGUUACUCGAAUCGCUGCGGAGGUCAAGGUGGAGGUCAUGGCGGCGGAGGCGGUGGUGGUCGCAGUUGUCCAACUUGCGGCAUCAGUAACUUCGGCAACGGAGAUCACAACGCUAAUAAGAUAACAAUCAGAAGACACAAUGGCUAGAUGUUCCUCACACAGCUGGGGGUCGUGAACAUAAGAUACUGGAUAUAAAGCGUCUUCACUUAGCCUCUGAUGACUUCGUCUGAUGUCGUUGUUCCGAUCAACACGUCUCAUCAAAAUCACGAAAAGAACUGUAUUGUGCUACCUAAUUAAUACCUAAUUCUAUUUUGUUUCCUACUUUACAAGUAUUAUAUAUAGAUUAUAACCAUUUCUGUGACAGAACAUUUAUUCAAUUUAAAGUUUUUUUUAUGUUGUUCGCGAUAUAUUUUAAGUUUUAAUGUAUGGAUAAAAUAAAUAGUAA
This is a long non-coding RNA of Danaus plexippus (monarch butterfly), 615 nucleotides long. RefSeq lists it as uncharacterized. Lineage: Eukaryota; Metazoa; Arthropoda; Insecta; Lepidoptera; Nymphalidae. The transcript has 3 exons. The record is from RefSeq and is a predicted model, not a curated record.